AUCAAACCAUCAUAACUGGUGGACAAUAUGAUUUUCGGGUCACUUCUGAGGACAGCUAAGGAAUUAACAUUUUUCAUGUGCCCAGAAAAUGACACGGGAGGUUUUUCCAGAUCACUUGCUGAGAAUAUGGAAAUAGUUCCACCAAGAGAAACAGUAACAAGAUGGUCAUUUUGCCAGAGACAGCCAACUAGCAUGUCCUCAACUCCACCAGAACCAGGAGAAGCCAGUGUUUUCUUCACUUUCCCUUUUCCAUCAUCAGAUAUAUCCCAUACUUUUGCUGACUUAUCAGCAGAGACUGUGAGCACCUGUUUACUAUCGGGACUCCAACUAACAGCAUAUAUACUUCCUUGAUGACCACCCUCAGAUGAUAGCUCUCCAAUUAUAUCUCCUGUUUUGGCAUCAUAAAUAAUGCCCUUCUUGUCCGAACUUACACUGAUAAGUUUGCUUCCGUCUGGAGAGAACCUCAAACAAUUGACAAAAUUUGAAUGCUCCCUGUGAGACAGCUUGAAUUUAAAUGGUGGUCCUUCAUAAAAGUUCAUCAAGAAGUCUUCGCCGCAAGUGGCUAUGCGGAAUGGUCUUGUGGGUUUAAAAGCGCAACUCAAAACUCUCCUUGAAUGGCCAUCAAAUUCACCCACAUUUGUUCCUGAGUCCCACAUGAAGGCACGAACAAGUGAUUUUCCCUUGCCAUCACCACAAGCAACAAUGCGCAUUCCAUCAGGAGACCAUUGAAGGUCAUCGAUCCGACCCGAUAGUACCCGAAACUCUUUCUUAAGAACGAAGUCAUUAUGGGUCCCCCAGAUCCGAACAGUACCUGAAACAUCAGCAGAAGCGAUCCAUUCACCAUUAGGAGAAUAACGAGCGACUGUAGCCUGAUAAGCAUGCUCCCCGUAAACUGCAACUUGGAGGGGGCGAUCGAGAUACCGGAUAAUAACGGAUCGGCCGUUACAAUAAAGGAUAGAGUUGGAUUUGGUGUCACCCGAAAUGAGAAUACCGCGACCUCGUUCGGUAGAAGGUAUACAAGCGUAAGUUUCUUUGAGGUCAGCCAUGGAGAUUUGUUGUGUUUAUGGAGAAAAAG
Molecule: unclassified non-coding RNA, 1075 nt
Filed under: Hevea brasiliensis (rubber tree)
Lineage: Eukaryota; Viridiplantae; Streptophyta; Magnoliopsida; Malpighiales; Euphorbiaceae
Source: RNAcentral